UUGAAGUUAAAUUCUGGUUUANUAUAAUUUAAAUUUAAAAUUAUAUUACAUGCAAUUUUUUAAUUGUUUUUAAUUUCUAAAUGGAAAUANUUUGAAUAAAUGCGCAGUAUUUAUUAUUAUUAAUUAAUAAUAUUAGAAUUAGUAAUUUUAUUUAAAAGAAUCAAAUUUCGUGCCAGCAGUUGCGGUUAUACGAUUUCUUUAAUUUAAAUAGUUAAGUUUCAGUUAAUAUAACAAUAAUAUAAAAUAUCUAUAAUUUUGGUGAAAUAUAUUUUAUCUUGAAAAAUUAAUUUUAUGUCUGAAAAAUUUUUGUUUAAACUAGGAUUAGAUACCCUAUUAUUAAAAAUGUGAUAAAAAUAACUUGAUUAUUAUUAGAAAUGAUCUUUAAAUUCAAAGAAUUUGGCGGUAAUUUAUCUUAUCAGAGGAACCUGUUUUAUAAUUGAUAGUCCACGAUAGAAAAAACUUUAAUUUAAUUUGUAUAUCUCUGUCAAGAAUGUUUUAUAAGAAAUAUUUUCAUACUAUNAUUACUUAUAUAUAAUGUCAGGUCAAGGUGCAGUUUAUAUUAAAGAAGAAAUGGGUUACAAUUAGCUAUUUAUUGAAUUAUUUUUUUUUAAGUUAAGAAAUAUGAAAUUGGAUUUGAUAAUAAAUUAAUUAAAUUUAAUUAAUUGAAAUUGGCUCUAAUUUAUGUACAUAUCGCCCGUCACUCUCAUAAUAUUAAUGAGAUAAGUCGUAACAAAGUAACUGUACCGGAAGGUGUAGUUAGAAAGA
This 765-nucleotide ribosomal RNA is filed under the name Kikihia angusta. RNAcentral's name for it is "12S ribosomal RNA". Lineage: Eukaryota; Metazoa; Arthropoda; Insecta; Hemiptera; Cicadidae. The record is from RNAcentral.